UUGGAGGGCAAGUCUGGUGCCAGCAGCCGCGGUAAUUCCAGCUCCAAUAGCGUAUAUUAAAGUUGUUGCAGUUAAAAAGCUCGUAGUUGAAUUUCGGGAUCAAUUUGUUGGUCGUGCCUCGGUACGUACUGGCAUUAUUGGUUUCUACCUUCUGAAGAACCUUGAUGUCAUUAAUUUGGUGUCUUGGGGAAUCAGGACUGUUACUUUGAAAAAAUUAGAGUGUUUAAAGCAGGC
Molecule: ribosomal RNA, 234 nt
Filed under: uncultured fungus
Lineage: Eukaryota; Fungi
Also listed under: 1 other name
Description: partial 18S ribosomal RNA
Rfam family: Eukaryotic small subunit ribosomal RNA
Source: RNAcentral